GCAGAGCAUCCUACGGGAGGCAGCAGUGGGGAAUAUUGCACAAUGGGCGCAAGCCUGAUGCAGCCAUGCCGCGUGUAUGAAGAAGGCCUUCGGGUUGUAAAGUACUUUCAGCAGUGAGGAAGGUGGGUAUGUUAAUAGCAUAUUCAUUUGACGUUAGCUGCAGAAGAAGCACCGGCUAACUCCGUGCCAGCAGCCGCGGUAAUACGGAGGGUGCGAGCGUUAAUCGGAAUUACUGGGCGUAAAGCGCAUGCAGGUGGUUUGUUAAGUCAGAUGUGAAAGCCCGGGGCUCAACCUCGGAAUUGCAUUUGAAACUGGCAAACUAGAGUACUGUAGAGGGGGGUAGAAUUUCAGGUGUAGCGGUGAAAUGCGUAGAGAUCUGAAGGAAUACCGGUGGCGAAGGCGGCCCCCCUGGACAGAUACUGACACUCAGAUGCGAAAGCGUGGGGAGCAAACAGGAUUAGAUACCCUGGUAG
RNAcentral lists this ribosomal RNA (473 nucleotides) under uncultured bacterium. Its description in RNAcentral is "bacterial SSU rRNA". It matches the Rfam family "Bacterial small subunit ribosomal RNA", at positions 329 to 793 of the family's 1533-position model. The record is from RNAcentral.